GAGUUUGAUCGUGGCUCAGGACGAACGCUGGCGGCGUGCCUAAUACAUGCAAGUCGAGCGGAUCUUCAUUAGCUUGCUUUUGAAGAUCAGCGGCGGACGGGUGAGUAACACGUGGGCAACCUGCCUGUAAGACUGGGAUAACUUCGGGGAAACCGGAGCUAAUACCGGAUGAUCCUUUUCCUCUCAUGAGGAAAAGCUGAAAGACGGUUUCGGCUGUCACUUACAGAUGGGCCCGCGGCGCAUUAGCUAGUUGGUGAGGUAACGGCUCACCAAGGCGACGAUGCGUAGCCGACCUGAGAGGGUGAUCGGCCACACUGGGGACUGAGACACGGCCCAGACUCCUACGGGAGGCAGCAGUAGGGAAUCUUCCGCAAUGGACGAAAGUCUGACGGAGCAACGCCGCGUGAGCGAUGAAGGCCU
Molecule: ribosomal RNA, 420 nt
Filed under: uncultured microorganism
Description: bacterial SSU rRNA
Rfam family: Bacterial small subunit ribosomal RNA
Source: RNAcentral